AUCGCCCUGUAGAUCUAUUUGGGGUUGUGCGGAGACCCCACAGCACCGAAGGCAACUCGGUGACCCAUGCGCCGGCAGCAUGUCCCAGUUCUUGCAGGAGUCGAGGCUUCAACCCUUGAAGAAUAAGUCCAUUCGCUCGCUCUGCUUGCCCGUUUGUUUGGGGAUGCGCCGCAGAUGCAAAAUCCACUCGGAUACCUUGGC
This 201-nucleotide long non-coding RNA is filed under the name Hordeum vulgare. RNAcentral's name for it is "long non-coding RNA (HVUL_LNC008222)". The record is from RNAcentral. Lineage: Eukaryota; Viridiplantae; Streptophyta; Magnoliopsida; Poales; Poaceae.